Molecule: ribosomal RNA, 492 nt
Filed under: uncultured bacterium
Lineage: Bacteria
Description: partial 16S ribosomal RNA
Rfam family: Bacterial small subunit ribosomal RNA
Source: RNAcentral
AGUGAACGCUGGCGGUAGGCCUAACACAUGCAAGUCGAACGGCAGCACAGUAAGAGCUUGCUCUUACGGGUGGCGAGUGGCGGACGGGUGAGGAAUACAUCGUAAUCUACUUUUUCGUGGGGGAUAACGUAGGGAAACUUACGCUAAUACCGCAUACGACCUACGGGUGAAAGCAGGGGAUCUUCGGACCUUGCGCGAUUGAAUGAGCCGAUGUCGGAUUAGCUAGUUGGCGGGGUAAAGGCCCACCAAGGGGACGAUCCGUAGCUGGUCUGAGAGGAUGAUCGGCCACACUGGAACUGAGACACGGUCCAGACUCCUACGGGAGGCAGCAGUGGGGAAUAUUAGGCAAUGGGGGCAAGCCUGAUCCAGCCAUACCGCGUGGGUGAAGAAGGCGUUCGGGUUGUAAAGCCCUUUUGUUGGGAGAGAAAAGCAGCAGGUUAAUACGCCGCUGUUCUGACGGUACCCAAAGAAUAAGCACCGGCUAACUUCGUG